This 521-nucleotide ribosomal RNA is filed under the name uncultured bacterium. RNAcentral's name for it is "partial 16S ribosomal RNA". It matches the Rfam family "Bacterial small subunit ribosomal RNA", at positions 28 to 523 of the family's 1533-position model. The record is from RNAcentral.
GACGAACGCUGGCGGCGUGCCUAAUACAUGCAAGUCGAGCGGGCCUCCGGAGGUGCUUGCACCUCCGGAAGGCCAGCGGCGGACGGGUGAGCAACACGUGGGCAACCUGCCUUUGAGGCCGGGAUAACACCGGGAAACCGGUGCUAAUACCGGAUACGUCCUCUUUCGCGCCUGCGAGAGGGGAGAAAGACGGUCUUUAAGGCCGUCGCGCAAAGAGGGGCCCGCGGCGCAUUAGCUGGUUGGUGGGGUAAGGGCCUACCAAGGCGACGAUGCGUUGCCGACCUGAGAGGGUGAUCGGCCACACUGGGACUGAGACACGGCCCAGACUCCUGCGGGAGGCAGCAGUAGGGAAUCAUCCGCAAUGGGCGAAAGCCUGACGGUGCAACGCCGCGUGAGUGAGGAAGGUUUUCGGAUCGUAAAGCUCUGUUGUGAGGGAAGAACAGCUUCCGGAGGAAAUGCCGGAGGUUUGCCGGUACCUCACCAGAAAGCCCCGGCUGACUACGUGCCAGCAGCCGCCGUAA